AGAGAGACAUGCUGGACGUCAAUCAGAUUAUGAAGGACUUGGCCAGCAUGGUGCAUGAACAAGGAGACACCAUAGACAGCAUUGAAGACUACAUUCAGACCACCUCAUCACAUGUGGAAUCAGCCAAUCAGGAGCUUGCAAAAGCCAGUCAUUAUCAGAGCCAGCUGAGGAGGAGGAAAUGUUAUCUGAUAAUCGCUGGAGUGCUGCUUCUUACUUUGCUUAUCAUCAUUAUUGCAGUCUCAGCCAGAAAAUGAGAGCAAGACCACAGAGAUCUCUGUUUCAACUCUGCUGUGAUCUCUCCUCAACUUCCCAGCAAAAUAGAGUCUGUACGUAGAGGUCCACCUGUGCUCACUCCCUUUCUUCUUAUCUCUGUCUAUACUUCUGUCAGAUUAUGUGUUUGUUUUUUUUUGGUGUAUGCAUGUAUGGAAGUGUGUGUGUGUGUGUGU
RNA transcript from Sinocyclocheilus anshuiensis, 446 nucleotides. It is a transcript of the gene named syntaxin-12-like, with no coding region annotated. The record is from RefSeq and is a predicted model, not a curated record. The transcript is spliced from 4 exons. NCBI's taxonomy places the organism in Eukaryota, Metazoa, Chordata, Actinopteri, Cypriniformes, Cyprinidae.